GUAGUGGUGGUUUGGUGGCAUAAUUCUUACCUUCCACGUGGGAGACCCAGGUUCAAUUCCUGGCCAAUGCA
RNAcentral lists this transfer RNA (71 nucleotides) under Loxodonta africana (African savanna elephant). It matches the Rfam family "tRNA". Rfam says of the family: Transfer RNA (tRNA) molecules are approximately 80 nucleotides in length. Lineage: Eukaryota; Metazoa; Chordata; Mammalia; Proboscidea; Elephantidae. The record is from Rfam by way of RNAcentral.